This 563-nucleotide ribosomal RNA is filed under the name uncultured Sebacinales. Its description in RNAcentral is "eukaryotic LSU rRNA". It matches the Rfam family "Eukaryotic large subunit ribosomal RNA", at positions 81 to 612 of the family's 3401-position model. The record is from RNAcentral. Lineage: Eukaryota; Fungi; Basidiomycota; Agaricomycetes; Sebacinales.
UAGUGACGGCGAGUGAAGAGGGAAAAGCUCAAAUUUUGAAUCUGGUGUCCUUGACUCCCGAGUUGUAAUCUAGAGAAGUGUUUUCCGCGUUGGACCGUGUACAAGUUCCCUGGAACGGGGCGUCAUAGAGGGUGAGAAUCCCGUAUAUGCCACGGACUACCAAUGCUCUGUGAUACACUCUCAACGAGUCGAGUUGUUUGGGAAUGCAGCUCAAAAUGGGUGGUAAAUUCCAUCUAAAGCUAAAUAUUGGCGAGAGACCGAUAGCGAACAAGUACCGUGAGGGAAAGAUGAAAAGCACUUUGGAAAGAGAGUGAAACAGUACGUGAAAUUGUUGAAAGGGAAGCGUUUGAAGUCAGUCACGUCUGUCGGAAUUCAGCCUGGCUUCUGCCUGGUGUACUUUCCGUCCGACGGGUCAGCAUCAAUUUCGACCGAGGGAAAAAGACGUGAGGAAUGUGGCUGUCUUCGGGCAGUGUUAUAGCCUCGGGUUGUAUGUCUCGGUUGGGAUUGAGGAACGCAGCGCGCCUAUUGGCCGGGGGUUCGCGCCCCUCGGUACGCGCUUAGGA